RNAcentral lists this non-coding RNA (31 nucleotides) under Rattus norvegicus (Norway rat). The record is from RNAcentral. Lineage: Eukaryota; Metazoa; Chordata; Mammalia; Rodentia; Muridae.
UGGCUGCACGACUGUGAGUUGGGAUUGCUAU